RNAcentral lists this ribosomal RNA (254 nucleotides) under uncultured bacterium. RNAcentral describes it as "partial 16S ribosomal RNA". It matches the Rfam family "Bacterial small subunit ribosomal RNA", at positions 524 to 776 of the family's 1533-position model. The record is from RNAcentral.
UACGGGGGGGGGCAAGCGUUGUUCGGAAUUAUUGGGCGUAAAGAGCUCGUAGGCGGUUUGUCGCGUCUGCCGUGAAAGUCCGGGGCUCAACUCCGGAUCUGCGGUGGGUACGGGCAGACUAGAGUGAUGUAGGGGAGACUGGAAUUCCUGGUGUAGCGGUGAAAUGCGCAGAUAUCAGGAGGAACACCGAUGGCGAAGGCAGGUCUCUGGGCAUUAACUGACGCUGAGGAGCGAAAGCAUGGGGAGCGAACAGG